GAUGAAGAACGUAGCGAAAUGCGAUAAGUAAUGUGAAUUGCAGAAUUCAGUGAAUCAUCGAAUCUUUGAACGCACAUUGCGCCCCUUGGUAUUCCGAGGGGCAUGCCUGUUCGAGCGUCAUUAUAACCCCUCAAGCUCAGCUUGGUGUUGGGGCCUGCUGCACUGGCAGCCCUUAAAAUCAGUGGCGGCGCCAUCUGGCUCUAAGCGUAGUAAUUCUUCUCGCUAUGGAGUCCUGGUGGAUGCUUGCCAUCAACCCCCAAUUUUUCUAUGGUUGACCUCGGAUCAGGUAGGGAUACCCGCUGAACUUAAGCAUAUCAAUAAGAGGA
Molecule: unclassified non-coding RNA, 326 nt
Filed under: soil metagenome
Description: partial contains 5.8S ribosomal RNA, internal transcribed spacer 2, and large subunit ribosomal RNA
Rfam family: 5.8S ribosomal RNA (bases 1-120)
Source: RNAcentral